This is a long non-coding RNA of Cyprinus carpio (common carp), 783 nucleotides long. RefSeq lists it as uncharacterized. The transcript has 3 exons. The record is from RefSeq and is a predicted model, not a curated record. NCBI's taxonomy places the organism in Eukaryota, Metazoa, Chordata, Actinopteri, Cypriniformes, Cyprinidae.
CUUCAGUUCAGUGCGGACGAGAACAAAGAGCUUGCAACUAAACUGGUUGUGUUACCAGAUGGAUGGAUGUGCUAUCAAUCCGGUUUAUUCUACAUUUCCUCUAUGAAGAAGAGCUGGAAUGACAGCAAACAAGACUGUUCGAAGAGGAAAGCAGAUCUGAUGAUUAUAAACAACAAAGAACAAAAAGAGUUUUUUAAAAAUUAUGGUGAACUCUGGAUUGGUCUGACUGACCGUGAUGUGGAGGGCAGAUGGAAAUGGGUUGAUGGCAGAACACUGACCUCUGGCUUCUGGAAGCCUGCAGAGCCAAAUGGAGACCGUACAGAGAACUGCGUUGUGACUUCUUCAUCAGGGUGGCGUGACUUUUCAUGUGAUAAAGAUUUUAAAUGGAUAUGUGAGAGAAAAAAAUCUUAAAAUAAACUCAGUAAUGUUAUCACUAAUAGGAAACAGGUAAAAUAAUAAUAAUAAUAAAAUAAAUAAAUAAAUUUGUACUUGUUUUUGCUUUUUUGUAAGCUAACUAUACAGUACAGAUAAAGAUAAGUAUCUUCUGAAAGUCUCAUUCUAUUACUGUAAAUCAUCUUCUUUAUUAAAUCAUUGAGCAAAUAAAUUUGUAUUUUUUAGUUUUAUUAAUGCAUGUGCGCAGCUUCUGAAUCUUUCUGCAGUUUUAAAAUACAUUUGCUAAUACGCUAGUGUAAUGCUGCACGUCAUUCACAAAGCUGUUACACUUCUGACCAAACAAUGAGCUCCAAUACACACCAGAUCAAGAGUCUGCAACCUCACAUUAGG